AUCCUUCAGGUUCUUACACAUGAUGAGUGGGUGGUCACGCGUCUGCGUGAAAUGUGCCGUCCCAAUUGUUACGACGGGGCGCAGUACCCAUCUGAUC
Molecule: small nucleolar RNA, 97 nt
Organism: Varanus komodoensis (Komodo dragon)
Lineage: Eukaryota; Metazoa; Chordata; Lepidosauria; Squamata; Varanidae
Source: Ensembl